GGGCCUUUAGCUCAGUUGGUAGAGCAGCGGACUUUUAAUCCGCGGGUCGUGGGUUCGAUCCCCACAGGGCCUACC
RNAcentral lists this transfer RNA (75 nucleotides) under Arthrobacter saudimassiliensis. RNAcentral's name for it is "tRNA-Lys". It matches the Rfam family "tRNA". Rfam says of the family: Transfer RNA (tRNA) molecules are approximately 80 nucleotides in length. Lineage: Bacteria; Bacillati; Actinomycetota; Actinomycetes; Micrococcales; Micrococcaceae. The record is from RNAcentral.